This 749-nucleotide ribosomal RNA is filed under the name Acinetobacter lwoffii. RNAcentral describes it as "bacterial SSU rRNA". It matches the Rfam family "Bacterial small subunit ribosomal RNA", at positions 91 to 835 of the family's 1533-position model. Lineage: Bacteria; Pseudomonadati; Pseudomonadota; Gammaproteobacteria; Moraxellales; Moraxellaceae. The record is from RNAcentral.
CCUAGCGGCGGACGGGUGAGUAAUGCUUAGGAAUCUGCCUAUUAGUGGGGGACAACAUCUCGAAAGGGAUGCUAAUACCGCAUACGUCCUACGGGAGAAAGCAGGGGACCUUCGGGCCUUGCGCUAAUAGAUGAGCCUAAGUCGGAUUAGCUAGUUGGUGGGGUAAAGGCCUACCAAGGCGACGAUCUGUAGCGGGUCUGAGAGGAUGAUCCGCCACACUGGGACUGAGACACGGCCCAGACUCCUACGGGAGGCAGCAGUGGGGAAUAUUGGACAAUGGGGGGAACCCUGAUCCAGCCAUGCCGCGUGUGUGAAGAAGGCCUUUUGGUUGUAAAGCACUUUAAGCGAGGAGGAGGCUACCGAGAUUAAUACUCUUGGAUAGUGGACGUUACUCGCAGAAUAAGCACCGGCUAACUCUGUGCCAGCAGCCGCGGUAAUACAGAGGGUGCAAGCGUUAAUCGGAUUUACUGGGCGUAAAGCGCGCGUAGGUGGCCAAUUAAGUCAAAUGUGAAAUCCCCGAGCUUAACUUGGGAAUUGCAUUCGAUACUGGUUGGCUAGAGUAUGGGAGAGGAUGGUAGAAUUCCAGGUGUAGCGGUGAAAUGCGUAGAGAUCUGGAGGAAUACCGAUGGCGAAGGCAGCCAUCUGGCCUAAUACUGACACUGAGGUGCGAAAGCAUGGGGAGCAAACAGGAUUAGAUACCCUGGUAGUCCAUGCCGUAAACGAUGUCUACUAGCCGUUGGGGCCUUUGA